GUACACGCUGUGACUAGCAUAUCAAUAAGCGGAGGAAAAGAAACUAACAAGGAUUCCCCUAGUAACGGCGAGUGAAGCGGGAAGAGCUCAAAUUUGAAAUCUUAAAGGGUUUCCCUUUACGAAUUGUAGUUUAAAGAAGUGUUUUCCUGUUGAGGUUUUGGUAAAAGUUCUUUGGAAUAGGACAUCAUAGAGGGUGAGAAUCCCGUAUUUGACCUUUACUUUCAACUUUGUGAUACACUUUCAAAGAGUCGGAUUGUUUGGGAAUGCAGUCCAAAAUGGGUGGUAAAUUUCAUCUAAAGCUAAAUAUUGGCGAGAGACCGAUAGCGAACAAGUACCGUGAGGGAAAGAUGAAAAGAACUUUGAAAAGAGAGUUAAACAGUACGUGAAAUUGUCAAAAGGGAAGCGUUUGACACCAGUGUUGUUUUUCUGAAAAUCAAUUAAAGAACUGUUUAUGCUAAGCUGUUUGGACUUUAUCAGCUAUCUGUUUAGUUUUGAGCUUUUCUUUAAUGCACUUUUCAGUUAACAAGUCAACAUCAAUUUCUUUUGCUGUAAAAAAGCUUGAGGAAGGUGGCUUGAGAUUCGUCUUAAGUGUUUAUAGCCUCUUGCCUAUGCAGUCGGAGAGAUUGAGGUCUGCAGCGUAGAUCCUUCGGGGCUAAAUGCAUUUGUGCUAAGUUAUAGCAUUUUAUAGACAACUUGUUGACUAUGAUUUGUCUUGUAGCUUACUCGCUUAUGUUAUUUUACCUACGCUUAGGAUGUUGAAGAUGUAGCACAUCAU
Molecule: ribosomal RNA, 775 nt
Filed under: uncultured Neocallimastigales
Lineage: Eukaryota; Fungi; Neocallimastigomycota; Neocallimastigomycetes; Neocallimastigales
Description: partial large subunit ribosomal RNA
Rfam family: Eukaryotic large subunit ribosomal RNA
Source: RNAcentral